RNAcentral lists this long non-coding RNA (241 nucleotides) under Homo sapiens (human). Its description in RNAcentral is "HSALNT0000909". The record is from RNAcentral. Lineage: Eukaryota; Metazoa; Chordata; Mammalia; Primates; Hominidae.
CUGGGCGGCCGUCUGGCAGGACUUUCUGUUUGGUUCCUGUGUAUCUGGGGAGGCCGGAAAGGACAAGCAACACUUGCUCACCUCAAGAGGAGGAAGAUGGAACUGGGCACCUGCCUCUAUCUGCUAAAUCCGGCCACUCUACCUGGGUCACACAGCUAGUAACUGACACAAGAAAAUGAAGCGGAGUCUACAUCUGAUGCCGGACAUCAGGCUCUGGUCCUCUGGUUUGCUAUCUGCCUGG